GACGAACGCUGGCGGCGUGCUUAACACAUGCAAGUCGAACGGAAAGGCCCUGCUUUUGUGGGGUGCUCGAGUGGCGAACGGGUGAGUAACACGUGAGUAACCUGCCCUUGACUUUGGGAUAACUUCAGGAAACUGGGGCUAAUACCGGAUAGGAGCUCCUGCUGCAUGGUGGGGGUUGGAAAGUUUCGGCGGUUGGGGAUGGACUCGCGGCUUAUCAGCUUGUUGGUGGGGUAGUGGCUUACCAAGGCUUUGACGGGUAGCCGGCCUGCGAGGGUGACCGGCCACAUUGGGACUGAGCUACGGCCCAGACUCCUACGGGAGGCAGCAGUGGGGAAUAUUGCACAAUGGGCGGAAGCCUGAUGCAGCAACGCCGCGUGCGGGAUGACGGCCUUCGGGUUGUAAACCGCUUUCGCCUGUGACGAAGCGUGAGUGACGGUAAUGGGUAAAGAAGCACCGGCUAACUACGUG
RNAcentral lists this ribosomal RNA (468 nucleotides) under uncultured bacterium. RNAcentral describes it as "partial 16S ribosomal RNA". It matches the Rfam family "Bacterial small subunit ribosomal RNA", at positions 28 to 507 of the family's 1533-position model. The record is from RNAcentral.